GCCAUCAAAUUCUGAAGGAGAAAUACAGUAAUUGAGGAGCAGAAGAGUGAAAGAAACCUAGAAUCUUGAGAAAAAAACAGAAGUGAUGCUGUUGAUGCAAUAAAUAUUCAUAGCACCGGAAAAAUACAAGAGCAAUCUGCUACGUCUCUAAACCAAGGUGCAAUUUUUACUCCCCUUGCACAAAACUUUAAUGAGACAUCAGGGGAGAUUUACAGUGACUAUGUUACCUUCGUGAAAAUUAAGAAUACUUGUCUGAAGAUACCGAUAUUCAAGAAGCAAUUAGCAGAUCACUAAUGGAAGAGACACUUAAAAG
Long non-coding RNA from Polypterus senegalus (gray bichir), 313 nucleotides. RefSeq lists it as uncharacterized. The record is from RefSeq and is a predicted model, not a curated record. The transcript is spliced from 3 exons. Lineage: Eukaryota; Metazoa; Chordata; Cladistia; Polypteriformes; Polypteridae.